UUUCCAUGACGCUUUAGGGCAACACCGACCGUUAGCUGGGUCACGUGGCUUUACCGGAAGUUGUAAGGGCGACGCGCCACGACGCGCGCGCCCUCGUCUUCCGUCCCAGGUCCCAAUCCUCACCUGCAAUAAAGUCCUUUCCCCUCGUUUUAGAAAAUUCCCAUUUUUUCCCUCUAUCUCUCUGUUUCCGUUCCAUCGGUUCGGUUUAGCCGUUCCUCGCACCUUUCUUUUUGCCUGCUGUUGCUCAAUCUUUCUAUAUUUAUAAAUCGAUUUUGCAAUUGUAUUUUCUUCCGAAGCGUGAAGGUCGCCCUGAACUAUCCUCAACACGCUACAGAAUUGUGUCCCAUAACAAGGAACGAUCCAUAGUUAACAACUCAUUUGUUGUUUAUCGGAGAUUGGGUAGAUAGAAGAGUAUCCCGUAUCAAACGUGGUAACUUCAAAACACCCUGUAUAUGCAAAUACAGUAGGCAAUAGGUCGAGUGUCCUUGAUUUUCUCGGCCAAUUCUUGAACGCUGUUACUGGAAUAAGGGGCUUUGCCGAAAAGGCACUCGUACAUGAUAACACCGACGCUCCAUAGAUCGACGCGGGCGUCGUAUUUCCGUUUCAACAAGAUUUCCGGCGCCAUGUAGAGGGGGGAGCCCCGAAUAGCAAAUUUUUGUUCGGAAUUGGAUAGGUACUGGGCGAGACCGAAGUCUGAAAUGAAAAGAUCGG
Nomia melanderi (Alkali bee) is the source of this 711-nucleotide non-coding RNA. The record is from RefSeq and is a predicted model, not a curated record. NCBI's taxonomy places the organism in Eukaryota, Metazoa, Arthropoda, Insecta, Hymenoptera, Halictidae.